GGGCAAACUACACACUGGAAGCCUUUCGCAACCUACCAGGCCGCAGCGUGGGCCUUGGGACCCCCUGUCUUAGGACUACACGGUGGAGGCGACCCUUGAGGUGCUGACAAACAUUGGCUUGCAUGCACGGCCCGAGAACAGGACCCCAGUAUUGACAGUAGCAGAAGCAAUCAGCUUCCACGAAGAGCUGCUAAUAACAUGGCAAACCUGGCAGACUGUGCAAUUUAUGAAUAAGAAGCUUGCACUGGGUGUAGAUCGGCUCUGAAAAAGGAACCGGGAA
Alligator sinensis (Chinese alligator) is the source of this 280-nucleotide long non-coding RNA. RefSeq lists it as uncharacterized. The record is from RefSeq and is a predicted model, not a curated record. The transcript has 3 exons. NCBI's taxonomy places the organism in Eukaryota, Metazoa, Chordata, Crocodylia, Alligatoridae.